GCUGGAGUGGUGGAAUUUGGUAGACACGCUAUCUUGAGGGGGUAGUGGGUGAGAUGCCCGUGCGGGUUCAAGUCCCGCCUCCAGCACAA
RNAcentral lists this transfer RNA (89 nucleotides) under Caldithrix abyssi. Its description in RNAcentral is "tRNA-Leu". It matches the Rfam family "tRNA". From Rfam's summary of the family: Transfer RNA (tRNA) molecules are approximately 80 nucleotides in length. The record is from RNAcentral. Lineage: Bacteria; Pseudomonadati; Calditrichota; Calditrichia; Calditrichales; Calditrichaceae.